Molecule: ribosomal RNA, 460 nt
Filed under: uncultured bacterium
Lineage: Bacteria
Description: partial 16S ribosomal RNA
Rfam family: Bacterial small subunit ribosomal RNA
Source: RNAcentral
CCUACGGGGGGCAGCAGUGAGGAAUAUUGGUCAAUGGGCGCGAGCCUGAACCAGCCAAGUAGCGUGAAGGAUGACUGCCCUACGGGUUGUAAACUUCUUUUAUAAAGGGAUAAAGUGAGGCACGUGUGGCUUUUUGUAGGUACUGUAUGAAUAAGGAUCGGCUAACUCCGUGCCAGCAGCCGCGGUAAUACGGAGGAUCCGAGCGUUAUCCGGAUUUAUUGGGUUUAAAGGGAGCGUAGUCGGGUCGUUAAGUCAGUUGUGAAAGGCUGCGGCUCAACCGUAGCAUUGCAAUUGAUACUGGCAGCCUUGAGUACAGGUGAGGUAGGCGGAAUUCGUGGUGUAGCGGUGAAAUGCUUAGAUAUCACGAAGAACUCCGAUUGCGAAGGCAGCCUACUAAACUGCCACUGACAUUGAGGCUCGAAAGUGUGGGUAUCAAACAGGAUUAGAUACCCGAGUAGUC